Molecule: ribosomal RNA, 219 nt
Filed under: uncultured bacterium
Lineage: Bacteria
Description: partial 16S ribosomal RNA
Rfam family: Bacterial small subunit ribosomal RNA
Source: RNAcentral
GACGUCCCUAGUUCGGAUUGUAGGCUGAAACUCGCCUACAUGAAGCUGGAAUUGCUAGUAAUCACAGGUCAGCAUACUGUGGUGAAUACGUUCCCGGGCCUUGUACACACCGCCCGUCACACCAUGAGAGUUGGAGAUACCCGAAGCCUAUGAGCUAACUUUUAGAGGCAGUAGUCGAAGGUAGAAUCAAUGAUUGGGGUGAAGUCGUAACAAGGUAAC